This 292-nucleotide ribosomal RNA is filed under the name uncultured bacterium. RNAcentral describes it as "partial 16S ribosomal RNA". It matches the Rfam family "Bacterial small subunit ribosomal RNA", at positions 505 to 796 of the family's 1533-position model. The record is from RNAcentral.
GUGUCAGCCGCCGCGGUAAUACGGAAGGUGCGAGCGUUAAUCGGAAUUACUGGGCGUAAAGCGCACGUAGGUGGUUUUAUAAGUCGGAUGUGAAAGCCCCGGGCUUAACCUGGGAAUUGCAUCUGAUACUGUCUGACUAGAGUAUGCUAGAGGGAAGUGGAAUUCCAGGUGUAGCGGUGAAAUGCGUAGAUAUCUGGAGGAACACCAAUGGCGAAGGCAACUUCCUGGGGCAAUACUGACACUGAUGUGCGAAAGCGUGGGGAGCAAACAGGAUUAGAUACCCGCGUAGUCC